UUUAUUGGAGAGUUUGAUCCUGGCUCAGGAUGAACGCUGGCGGCGUGCCUAAUACAUGCAAGUCGAGCGAAUGGAUUAAGAGCUUGCUCUUAUGAAGUUAGCGGCGGACGGGUGAGUAACACGUGGGUAACCUGCCCAUAAGACUGGGAUAACUCCGGGAAACCGGGGCUAAUACCGGAUAACAUUUUGAACCGCAUGGUUCGAAAUUGAAAGGCGGCUUCGGCUGUCACUUAUGGAUGGACCCGCGUCGCAUUAGCUAGUUGGUGAGGUAACGGCUCACCAAGGCAACGAUGCGUAGCCGACCUGAGAGGGUGAUCGGCCACACUGGGACUGAGACACGGCCCAGACUCCUACGGGAGGCAGCAGUAGGGAAUCUUCCGCAAUGGACGAAAGUCUGACGGAGCAACGCCGCGUGAGUGAUGAAGGCUUUCGGGUCGUAAAACUCUGUUGUUAGGGAAGAAUAAGUGCUAGUUGAAUAAGCUGGCACCUUGACGGUACCUAACCAGAAAGCCACGGCUAACUACGUGCCAGCAGCCGCGGUAAUACGUAGGUGGCAAGCGUUAUCCGGAAUUAUUGGGCGUAAAGCGCGCGCAGGUGGUUUCUUAAGUCUGAUGUGAAAGCCCACGGCUCAACCGUGGAGGGUCAUUGGAAACUGGGAGA
Molecule: ribosomal RNA, 660 nt
Filed under: Bacillus cereus
Lineage: Bacteria; Bacillati; Bacillota; Bacilli; Caryophanales; Bacillaceae
Description: bacterial SSU rRNA
Rfam family: Bacterial small subunit ribosomal RNA
Source: RNAcentral